GACUGGUCUGAAAGUAGUGAGUUAUCUCAAUUGAUUGUUCACAGUCAGUCACGGAUCAAACUCCUUGUUCUACUCUUUCCCCCCUUCUCACCACUGCACUUAAUGAAUAGUCUUUA
Molecule: Y RNA, 116 nt
Filed under: Vulpes vulpes (red fox)
Lineage: Eukaryota; Metazoa; Chordata; Mammalia; Carnivora; Canidae
Description: Y RNA (ENSVVUG00000022689.1)
Rfam family: Y RNA
About the family: Y RNAs are components of the Ro ribonucleoprotein particle (Ro RNP), in association with Ro60 and La proteins. The Y RNAs and Ro60 and La proteins are well conserved, but the function of the Ro RNP is not known.
Source: Rfam by way of RNAcentral